AUACGAGUGCCUCAAGCGUUAUGCGGAAUCACUGGGCGUAAAGGGUCCGUAGGUGGCUCUGUUAGUCUCUUGUUAAAGCUCCCCGCUCAACGGGGAAAUCGCAGGGGAAACGGCAGAGCUUGAGAGUGCUAGGGGUGUGCAGAACUCACGGUGUAGGGGUGAAAUCCGUUGAUAUCGUGGGGAAUACCGAAAGCGAAGGCAGCACACUGGAGCAUUUCUGACACUGAGGGACGAAACCCUGGGUAGCGAAUGGGAUUAGAAACCCCAGUAGUCC
This 274-nucleotide ribosomal RNA is filed under the name uncultured bacterium. RNAcentral's name for it is "partial 16S ribosomal RNA". It matches the Rfam family "Bacterial small subunit ribosomal RNA", at positions 523 to 796 of the family's 1533-position model. The record is from RNAcentral.